RNAcentral lists this ribosomal RNA (399 nucleotides) under uncultured bacterium. RNAcentral describes it as "bacterial SSU rRNA". It matches the Rfam family "Bacterial small subunit ribosomal RNA", at positions 358 to 773 of the family's 1533-position model. The record is from RNAcentral.
GGAAUAUUGCACAAUGGGGGAAACCCUGAUGCAGCAACGCCGCGUGAGUGAUUGAAGUAUUUCGGUAUGUAAAACUCUAUCAGCAGGGAAGAAGAUGACGGUACCUGAUUAAGAAGCCCCGGCUAACUACGUGCCAGCAGCCGCGGUAAUACGUAGGGGGCAAGCGUUAUCCGGAUUUACUGGGUGUAAAGGGAGCGUAGACGGUAAUGUAAGUCUGAUGUGAAAGCCCGGGGCUCAACCCCGGGACUGCAUUGGAAACUAUGUAACUAGAGUACCGGAGAGGUAAGCGGAAUUCCUAGUGUAGCGGUGAAAUGCGUAGAUAUUAGGAGGAACACCAGUGGCGAAGGCGGCUUACUGGACGGAAACUGACGUUGAGGCUCGAAAGCGUGGGGAGCAAAC